CUUUUUCCUUGUAUCUAUAAAUAUAUUUUCUGGGGUUCCUCCAUUUUUAAGCCACCAUUACAGAACCCCAAGAAAAAGGGCCCAAAAAUAUGAAGCACAUAGCCACUUUUUUGCUUUUGGUUUCUGUCUCCACCAUUGUUUUGCAGGUUGUUGCAGAAAAUCCAAUAUCCCAAGCUAAAGCGGAAUCUGCAAUCCUUCAGGACUCAAUCGUCAAACAGGUUAAUGAAAAUGAAAAAGCUGGAUGGAGAGCUGCACUAAACCCUCAAUUCUCGAAUUUCACGGUUUCCCAAUUUAAGCGCCUUCUUGGAGUUAAGCCCACAAGAAAGGGUGAUUUGAAGGGCAUCCCUAUUUUAACUCAUCCAAAACUUUUGAAGUUACCCCAAGAGUUUGAUGCACGAGUGGCUUGGCCUCAGUGUAGCACUAUUGGGAGAAUUCUUGAUCAGGGACAUUGUGGUUCUUGUUGGGCUUUUGGUGCUGCUGAGUCGUUGUCUGAUCGUUUCUGUAUUCAUUAUGGAUUGAAUAUCUCUCUGUCAGCAAAUGAUAUCAUAGCAUGCUGUGGCUAUUUAUGCGGGGAUGGUUGUGAUGGUGGAUAUCCGUUAGAAGCUUGGAAAUACUUUGUUCGCAAGGGUGUGGUCACUGAAGAGUGUGACCCUUACUUUGAUAAUAAGGGAUGUUCCCACCCUGGAUGUGAACCUGGAUAUCCCACUCCACAGUGCAAGAGGAAGUGUGUUAAAGAGAAUCUACUCUGGAGUAAAUCCAAGCAUUUUGGUGUUAAUGCAUACCUGAUUAACUCCGACCCAUACAGUAUCAUGACAGAAGUUUACAAGAAUGGACCAGUUGAGGUUUCUUUUACUGUUUACGAGGAUUUCGCUCACUACAAGUCUGGUGUUUACAAGCACAUAAAUGGUGAGGAAAUGGGAGGCCAUGCUGUUAAGCUCAUUGGAUGGGGAACCUCUGAGGAUGGAGAGGACUAUUGGCUCCUUGCCAAUCAAUGGAACAGAGGAUGGGGUGAUGAUGGUUACUUCAAG
Molecule: unclassified non-coding RNA, 1028 nt
Filed under: Hevea brasiliensis (rubber tree)
Lineage: Eukaryota; Viridiplantae; Streptophyta; Magnoliopsida; Malpighiales; Euphorbiaceae
Source: RNAcentral